UAUGGUCAUAUCACAUUGAAGCACAGGCUCCUACAUAAUCACAGUAGUUAAGCAAUGUUGAGUUUGGUCAGUACCUAGAUGGGCGACUGCUUGGGAAUACCAGGUGCU
This is a non-coding RNA of Acanthosepion pharaonis, 108 nucleotides long. The record is from the annotation of a GenBank genome assembly. NCBI's taxonomy places the organism in Eukaryota, Metazoa, Mollusca, Cephalopoda, Sepiida, Sepiidae.